UGGAUCGACAAAAGAUCACUUCGGUGAAGCUGAAAGUGGAGUUGACUGUUAUUUGUCGGGUUUCGAAAUUUGUUUUUUGUUGAUAUCAAUUUUUCAAGAUGCAUUUUAUCUGUUUAUCACCUGCGUGGGCACAGUUUGGGGCAGAUGUCUAUAAAUACCCAUAGGUAUACCUACAAGCAAAUCACCGUCAACAUGUAUUUUAAAACUUUGCUGGUUGUCAUCGCGUCCCUAAUUUGUGUUACUGUGGCUGAUUUUCCCUGUCUUCAAUGCUUGAGCACCAAUAAGGGCCAAACUCCUACCGAAUGUGAAAGCGGGCAAGGCGGAAUUAAAUUUGCGACAUGUUCCAAAAAUACGUGCCUGUAUGUUACAGGAAUUUCCACUGACAAAAAAUCACAUGUAACAGCAAGAGACUGCGCUAGUUCUUUUAGGGUCUGUAAUCGGAAUGCCAAGGAAUUGAUGGUAACUUACAACAUGUCGAAAAUAACGAUGUGUGGUGUUUGCAACGGUGAUAACUGUAAUAAUAAUAAAUAAUAGAUUUAUUAAUCACAUCCAAACUGUACUUUUUCUAUGAAGAUUUUAUUGAAAUCUAUAAAUGAUGCAUAUUUUCCCAAUUAAAUGUUCACCUGUUCAAAA
Photinus pyralis (common eastern firefly) is the source of this 633-nucleotide long non-coding RNA. RefSeq lists it as uncharacterized. The transcript is spliced from 3 exons. NCBI's taxonomy places the organism in Eukaryota, Metazoa, Arthropoda, Insecta, Coleoptera, Lampyridae. The record is from RefSeq and is a predicted model, not a curated record.